This 85-nucleotide transfer RNA is filed under the name Clostridia bacterium. RNAcentral describes it as "tRNA-Leu". It matches the Rfam family "tRNA". Rfam says of the family: Transfer RNA (tRNA) molecules are approximately 80 nucleotides in length. Their secondary structure includes four short double-helical elements and three loops (D, anti-codon, and T loops). RNAcentral also lists the same sequence under 1 other name. Lineage: Bacteria; Bacillati; Bacillota; Clostridia. The record is from RNAcentral.
GCCGGUGUGUCGGAAUGGCAGACGACCUCGACUCAAAAUCGAGUGCUAUAAUGGCGUGUGGGUUCGAGUCCCACCACCGGCACCA